Molecule: long non-coding RNA, 1068 nt
Filed under: Brassica napus (rape)
Lineage: Eukaryota; Viridiplantae; Streptophyta; Magnoliopsida; Brassicales; Brassicaceae
Description: long non-coding RNA (BNAP_LNC024911)
Source: RNAcentral
GCUUAUGGUGGCCGUUGUAGCUGACGAGGCGCUCGAAAACGAAAAACUCGCGGACGAGAAGAGGAACGUCUUUACCGGGAGAGAGAACGUCGGAGACGGUGAUGUGUUUGGCGGAAGCAGCGACGAAUUCAACUCCGGAGUCGUUGCAGGUGAUGUAGAUGUGACCGGAGGGACUGGUGGAGAAACGGCCGGCUAAGGCAGGGAAAAGAGAGAGGGUGGAGGAGAGUGAACGGCGGAGAGAGGAGACAAGGUCGUCGAAGGAGAAGGAAGGAGGAGGGCGACUGAGGAGCACGCCCUUCUGAAUGUAAUGGCAUGAGAGCAUAGGGAGAUCGGAGACGGAGAGACGGAGAUCGGCCACGGUGGACCUCUUCUCCGGAUACACAAUGCAUUUCGAGAUUUCUGUUACUGAACAAGAAGGCAUUUUGUAAAGAAACAAACAAAAUAUGUAAAAGAAGAUAUUGAUUUGGGAGCUGUGGUGAUUGCCGUAUUGGUGAGGAGAAGAGUCAUGGGAGCAAGGGGGUUUAUAUAGUGGUCUUGUCGGAGCAAAGUUGCGUCAGCGAAGGUGUUGAAGAAUUGCCAGAAGGAAGUUCCAUCUGUAACGGAAUGAUUAACGGUGCAUCCGAUGAAGACGCCGUCGUCUAGCUCCGUCACUUGGACGGCGGAGAGAGGCUUAUGGUGGCCGUUGUAGCUGACGAGGCGCUCGAAAACGAAAAACUCGCGGACGAGAAGAGGAACGUCUUUACCGGGAGAGAGAACGUCGGAGACGGUGAUGUGUUUGGCGGAAGCAGCGACGAAUUCAACUCCGGAGUCGUUGCAGGUGAUGUAGAUGUGACCGGAGGGACUGGUGGAGAAACGGCCGGCUAAGGCAGGGAAAAGAGAGAGGGUGGAGGAGAGUGAACGGCGGAGAGAGGAGACAAGGUCGUCGAAGGAGAAGGAAGGAGGAGGGCGACUGAGGAGCACGCCUUUCUGAAUGUAAUGGCAUGAGAGCAUAGGGAGAUCGGAGACGGAGAGACGGAGAUCGGCCACGGUGGACCUCUUCUCCGGAUACACAAUGCAUUUCGAGAUUUC